CUGAUGCGCCAUGCCGCGUGUAUGAAGAAGGCCUUCGGGUUGUAAAGUACUUUCAGUUGUGAGGAAGGGGGUAGCGUUAAUAGCGCUAUCUCUUGACGUUAGCAACAGAAGAAGCACCGGCUAACUCCGUGCCAGCAGCCGCGGUAAUACGGAGGGUGCGAGCGUUAAUCGGAAUUACUGGGCGUAAAGCGCAUGCAGGUGGUUCAUUAAGUCAGAUGUGAAAGCCCGGGGCUCAACCUCGGAACUGCAUUUGAAACUGGUGAACUAGAGUACUGUAGAGGGGGGUAGAAUUUCAGGUGUAGCGGUGAAAUGCGUAGAGAUCUGAAGGAAUACCAGUGGCGAAGGCGGCCCCCUGGACAGAUACUGACACUCAGAUGCGAAAGCGUGGGGAGCAAACAGGAUUAGAUACCCUGGUAGUCCACGCCGUAAACGAUGUCUACUUGGAGGUUGUGGCCUUGAGCCGUGGCUUUCGGAGCUAACGCGUUAAGUAGACCGCCUGGGGAGUACGGUCGCAAGAUUAAAACUCAAAUGAAUUGACGGGGGCCCGCACAAGCGGUGGAGCAUGUGGUUUAAUUCGAUGCAACGCGAAGAACCUUACCUACUCUUGACAUCCAGAGAAGCCAGCGGAGACGCAGGAGUGCCUUCGGGAGCUCUGAGACAGGUGCUGCAUGGCUGUCGUCAGCUCGUGUUGUGAAAUGUUGGGUUAAGUCCCGCAACGAGCGCAACCCUUAUCCUUGUUUGCCAGCGAGUAAUGUCGGGAACUCCAGGGAGACUGCCGGUGAUAAACCGGAGGAAGGUGGGGACGACGUCAAGUCAUCAUGGCCCUUACGAGUAGGGCUACACACGUGCUACAAUGGCGCAUACAGAGGGCAGCAAGCUAGCGAUAGUGAGCGAAUCCCAAAAAGUGCGUCGUAGUCCGGAUUGGAGUCUGCAACUCGACUCCAUGAAGUCGGAAUCGCUAGUAAUCGUAGAUCAGAAUGCUACGGUGAAUACGUUCCCGGGCCUUGUACACACCGCCCGUCACACCAUGGGAGUGGGCUGCAAAAGAAGUGGGUAGUUUAACCUUUCGGGGAGGACGCUCACCACUUUGUGGUCAUGAUGGGUGACG
Molecule: ribosomal RNA, 1108 nt
Filed under: Vibrio sp. 817M
Lineage: Bacteria; Pseudomonadati; Pseudomonadota; Gammaproteobacteria; Vibrionales; Vibrionaceae
Description: bacterial SSU rRNA
Rfam family: Bacterial small subunit ribosomal RNA
Source: RNAcentral